CCCGACGUUGCUUAACUUUGGUCAAAAAUCACGUUUGUUGUAUGGGAGCCCCAUUCAAAUCUUUAUUUUAUUCUGUUUUUAGUAUUUGUUGUUAUAGCGGCAACAGAAAUACAUCAUCUGUGAAAAUUUCAACUGUCUAGCUAUUACGGUUCGUGAGAUACAGCCUGGUGACAGACGGACGGACGGACGGACGGACGGACGGACGGACAGCGAAGUCUUAGUAAUAGGGUCCCGUUUUACCCUUUGGGUACGGAACCCUAAAAAGAAGUGUAUACAAUUUCCUGUGGUUAAAAAUAAUGGAUUUUGUCUAUGAAUGAAAAACACAAUUAUUACUAUAGUUUGUUUUUUUUAGCAUUAGAAAUAAGGUAAACAGUCUUGACGUGUCUUUUAAUUGAAAAACACAUUUUAUAAAUAAGUUACGGCAAAUAUGUAACAAUUAUAAAUCUAAUACGAUCAUUUUUAGGGUUCCGUACCCAAAGGGUAAAACGGGACCCUAUUACUAAGAUUUCGCUGUCCGUCCGUCCGUCUGUCACCAGGCUGUAUCUCACGAACCGUGAUAGCUAGACAGUUGAAAUUUUCACAGAUGAUGUAUUUCUGUUGCCGCUAUAACAACAAAUACUAAAAACAGAAUAAAAUAAAGAUUUAAAUGGGGCUCCCAUACGACAAACGUGAUUUUUGACCAAAGUUAAGCAACGUCGGGAGGGGUCAGUACUUGGAUGGGUGACCGUUUUCUUUUUGCUUUUUUUUUUGCAUUAUGGUACGGAACCCUUCGUGCGCGAGUCCGACUCGCACUUGCCCGGUUUUUGAUUUUUAAAAACCUGAUAACACUGAGUAUGUGGGGGAAGCGCUGCUGGCCUAGCGGAAAGCAAUUCGGAGGUCGCGGGUUCUAACCCCGGCUCGUACCAAUGAUUUUUCGAACUUUUGUACGAAAUAGCAUUUGAUACCUACCUAUUUAUACACCGAUACCUAUUUUUCGGUGAAAGAAAACAAUGUGAGGAAACCGGACUAAUCCAAAUAAGUUUACUCUCUGGGUUGGAAGGUCAGGGCAGUCGCUUUCGUGUAAACUAGUGCGCAUGCCAAUUCUGGGAUUAGUUGCCAAGCGGAGAUUGAAUAUCUGGGAGACCGACCAAAGCUUACAAAUCAUAAAAACUCAAAAAUGCGCGUUUUCUCAUAGACCUAGCUAAGAGAUCAAACCCCUUAUAGCAAAUUUCAUCGAAAUCGUUAGAGCCGUUUCUGAUACCAUCCAAAUAUAUAAAUAAAUAAUUAUAUAUCUAAUAAUUGCUCGUUUAAAGGUAAGAUAACACAAAGGAGAAACAAAAAGAAAUUACCUACUCGCACCAGUCUUGAACCCCAAUCCUCUUGCACGUAUUUCCACGAACAUACCGUUACGCUAUUGCAACAUACUUACGUUGUGUGAAAUUGUCUACUACAAGGAUCACGGAAACACUCUUUGCAUGUGUGAGUAAUAGUAAGAAAAAGCGUGACAGCAACAUUCCGUCAAAUUAAAAAGGUGGUUUUUGCACAAUGAAGUAUUCAAUGUUUAUUUUAAUAGUUCAAUAUUUACUUAAAGAGUGCGCGAAACAUACUUUUAAGUAUACAAAUACCAAGACCAUUUCACAAAAAAAUAAAAUCUUAUAUUUUGCAAAAGUGGUGCCAUCUAGCGAGAGUUAAGUUUUGAGUAACCUAGGCGAACCACCUUAAACAUUUUUAUCGUACAGUCGCCAUUAGAUAUAUCUGAGCGGCCGAAGCGCGCACAAACAUCUGAACACGCCUCUAUUGUCAAGGCUGCUGGUUUACUGGUUCAGAUAUUUUGGAGCAUCUUGGCCGCUCUUAUAUAUUUGAUGGCGACAGUACCACACUAAUACGAUUUAAAGUAGUCCGUAAAAUGAGACUACCAUGAAUAUGUAGUUCGGUGGGAAAAGGAGAACAGUGCUACUUGCAAAAAAAAACAAGAUAUCUUUUUUUCGUCGGUGACGUCACAUUUUGCUGAAAAUUAAUAAGGAAUUCCUAAGAUAGUCAUAGUGUAAUGGUGAGAAUACGCAAACUUGAUAACAAUCUCUUGAAUUUCGUUAAAACUUUAUAGCUGAGAAACAGCCAAGGUAAAAGCACCUACCUACCUAUACCUACCCUAUUGUUUCGUAGUAUUUUACUUGACGGUAUUUUGGCUAUUUAUCGGUAUCGUCUUGGAUCGUCCCAUUCGUUUUUCGUCAAGUUCUUAAAUUAGUCCUAUUCUGCUUUCGUCACUCAUUCUACAUUGAAAGCUACCGACGAUUGUGACGAAUAUAGAAUGGGUGACGAAAGCAGUAUAGGACGAUACCUAUUUAUCAUUUGGAACUAACGAGAAACAGAAAAGUUUAAGUGAGAGUAAAUGAAAAUAGUGAAAAUAUCGUUUUAGUUUGUAUAAUAUCUAGUAAUACCACUCUAGGGUAACAUGUAUUUUUACUUAAAUCUUUCUUUACGACCCUUAUGCAUUUUUUACAAAACACUGCACCUUUAAAAAUAUAUGCCGCAGAUAUAACAAAAUAGACCAUUGGUUUUUGAGGUGUCUAAUUGGCUAAUAAAUCCGUUUAUAUAAGACAACAUAGGUACAACACACUUAAAUUAUAAUGUAAAAAGCAGAAUUAGUAAUAAAAUAAUAAACAGUUGGUAUUGAAAUAUUUGAACAUUCCUGACAUGUAUAAAAAGGGUAAAGGGGCCCACAGAUUACCAGUUCGCCGGGCGAUAUCAGCCCAGCCCAGUUAAACGCAAAAGGUGACAGUUCCGAACAACUGACAGGCUGAUAUCGCCCGGCGAACUGGUAAUCUGUGCGCCCCUUAAGGAAGAGAUGGGGCUGUCUUACGAUAUGUCUUUCUUACUAUUACUUUAACAUUCUAAGUGCACGAGGUCAUUGGCAGAGUAAUUUGCUUGAAUGCAUUAACCUCUAGCCGCCCAGAGACCUAUAAAAAGGUCUCCUGUUCCAUUCUAAUUUGAACUUUGUGUUGACAACAUAAAAUUUCAUUUUGCUUGGCAAGGUUUGACGUAUGGGCGGCUAGAGGUUAAAAUGACAAUGUAUGUAGAACAAAAGGGGUUGAAGGGUUUUAAUAUCUGCGGUCUAUAUGUCGCUUGCCAAACUUGUAACUUUUGGAAGACUUGAGGUUUUUACGUGUUAAGUCUUCGUGUUGUUAUCAAUUUUUAAGUAUUCUACUCUUAUUAUGUUAUUUGUAGUAGGUCAUCGUUGACUUGGGUCGGAUAAUGCAAGAAUUUAAAAUACUAUUUACAUAACGCUUAACCAGAAAUACCGGGUGUAUUUAUUUACUUAACGUUCAUACUGAAAUAUGUUUCUGGUGCGGUUACUUGUAUUUGAUUCCCUAGUAUUGUUAAGUAGUUUUUACUCUUUAUUUAUUUUACACCUUACUGCUCAAUCUUGUAUCCAAUUUCUUUCUUGUUAUUUUUUUAAGGUGCUAGAGUAGUACGUUUAUCAUGGAUAUAAGAGGAUUUAUCUCUUUCACACCUACUUAGUGUGAAAGAGAUAAAUGGCAGUUCAGCGAUAAACUAUUAUAUGCUAGUAACUUAGUUUUUUAGAUUUGUUUUGUUUCUUUGCCCACGCUACUAUACUAUGUGUUGUAAUUUUAAUGUAAAUUUUAAAUAGUUAUGGUCGAAUGAUAAUAUUUGAUAGUUAACGGUGAUAUUGUACCGUUAGACGGCUUUAGAUGCAGGAAUCAGCAAUUUGUAAACAAAUUAAAUGAAUUAUUGAAA
Molecule: long non-coding RNA, 3735 nt
Organism: Cydia fagiglandana
Lineage: Eukaryota; Metazoa; Arthropoda; Insecta; Lepidoptera; Tortricidae
Exons: 2
Source: RefSeq, a predicted model, not a curated record